This 1249-nucleotide long non-coding RNA is filed under the name Chrysemys picta bellii (western painted turtle). Its description in RNAcentral is "lncRNA (ENSCPBG00000022122.1)". Lineage: Eukaryota; Metazoa; Chordata; Testudines; Emydidae. The record is from RNAcentral.
UCAAUCUCCCUGGACAUUCUAUAACAGAUUUAGAAGUAGCUAUACUUGAACAAAAAAACUUCAGAAACAGACUUCAAAGAGAAACAGCAGAACUAAAAUUCAUUUGCAAAUUUAACACCAUUAAUUUGGGCUUGAAUAGGGACUGGGAGUGGCUGGCUCAUUACAAAAGCAGCUUUGCCUCUCCUGGAAUUGAUACCUCCUCAUCUAUUAUUGGGAGUGGACUACAUCCACCCUGAUCAAAUUGGCCCUGUCAACACUGGUUCUCCACUUGUGAGGUAACUCCCUUCUCUUCAUGUGUCAUUAUAUAAUGCCUGCAUCUGUAAUUUUUACUCCAUGCAUCUGAAGAAGUGAGGUUUUUUUACCCAUGAAAGCUUAUGCUCAAAUAAAUCUGUUAGUCUUUAAGGUGCCACCGGACUCCUUGUUUUUGAAGAUAUUACUCUUUUAGUCUGGACUGCACACCUGACAUCAGCCAUACGGAACAAAUGACUUUAAUGGUGCGUUUUGUAACAACAACAGAACCUAGUGAAAAUGUCUCUACAAUGGUGACUGUCAGAGAGCAUUUUCUAGAAUUUAUUGACAUUGAUGAUACUACAGGAGCUGGUAUGACAAAUGUGCUUCAAAGCCGGAAGAUACGGGAAUUGCGAUAGCUGACAUGAGAGGUCAGGGCUACGAUAAUGGUACCAACAUGAGAGGAAAGAACAGAGGAGUGCAGACACAGAUCUGAGAGUUAAACCCUCGAGCUUUUUUUGUCCCAUGCAGUUCUCAUUCUUUGAACUUGGUGGUCAGUGAUGCAGCAUCAGCUUCUAGUGAGGCUGCUGAAUUUUUUAAAUGUAAUUCAAAGCAUCUAUGUAUUUUUCUCUGCAUCAACUCAUCGAUGGCAAAUUUUGAAGCAACAUCUGGGAACAUCCUCUCUGACACUGAAACCACUGAGUGCCACACGAUGGGAAAGUCGAGUGGAGGCGAUAAAGCCUAUCAAACACGAAAUUGGGAAGAUAGAUGAUACCAUAGUAUUAUCCUCCAUAAUGGCAACUAUGACAGGAACUGUUCAUGGGAGAACAAUGGCAGAGGGAAAUGGAAUCACCAGAAACAUACAUAACUUCAAAUUUCUCUAUGGCUUAGUGUUGUGGCGUGACAUACGGUUUGAAAUAAAUAUUGUAAGCAAGAGACUCCAAGCUGUUGACCUUGAUAUAUCUGGAGCAAUGGAACAACUGGACAAAGCAAAGUCAUACCUACAUUCUUACCAGUCAGG